RNAcentral lists this long non-coding RNA (994 nucleotides) under Carica papaya (papaya). RNAcentral's name for it is "long non-coding RNA (CPAP_LNC004213)". Lineage: Eukaryota; Viridiplantae; Streptophyta; Magnoliopsida; Brassicales; Caricaceae. The record is from RNAcentral.
CUAGUUUUGAAGGUCCAAAUUUGAUUUGAAUGGUUAUAAAUACGAAAGAGAUUUUCAAAAGAAUAUAAGAAAAACCCUAGUAGAGAGACAAUGAAUGCUGAUCGACUAAGGGAAAAAAAGGAAGAGGAAGAGCUGCGCGAGCCUCCGCCUAAACAUCGACCCAAAUGGUAUUUUCUAUUAGGUGAUUAUUCAUUCCUUUGUAAUCCCGAUCAGAUAAACCUCGACAUUCUAUCUAGAAUGUUGAAGUAACACAUAUGUGUCCCCUAUUGUUCAACUAGAGGUGAAAAAAGAUUCACACUGUUAGUCGACCUAGCUCCUUUGAGAUCUGAGGAAGGGUUGUAAUUUAUACUCUAAAUCCCUAGAUUUGUAAUAAUGUAAUGAUUUUGAUUUCAUGGUUGCGAUUUAUAACAUAAUAAUUUGAUAUGAUGACAAGUUAUUCGAUCUUAAUGUAUAAAUACAUGAAAUGGGUGAUGGUUUUAGAUGUUUGAGGUGAGAUAGAAUACGAUUUAGGGUUUGGGAUAUCACAAGGGUUCAGGAGGAAAGAAAGAUGAGGAGAUCCAGGUUGGUCUAGUGGGUCAGAUCGGGUAGCCCGAGCUCGAGCCCAAUAGGUCUGAUGGGUUUAGUAAAAUGAAAAAAAAUGUAUAUAAUGAAUGAAUAAAUAAAUAAGCAGGAAGGGUAUACAUUUUGGAUGGGCUGAGCCAGCAAGAGAAAUGGGCUUUGUGAGGUGACUAAGGUCCUGGGUGGGUGGGUUGGACUUCAAUGGUUGAAAGGAAAUAAAACAAAAAAGGGUCCUGAUUCGGUGGCCGAGCCAGUAUGAAGAAAAAAAAAGGGAUCUACCUGAAUAUUGGGUUUGAAUUGAAAAUUAACAAAAAAGGGAUCAUGGCUUUGGUGAGUCGAGUCCGUAGGCUACAAAAGAAGCUUAAACACUGAUUGGCCAAGCCUUUUCUAAAUGGCUAUGAAGAUAGAAUUAGACCAAUUUAAAAGAAAAUAAAAA